UACGUAGGGGGCAAGCAUUAUCCGGGUUUACUGGGUGUAAAGGGAGCGUAGACGGCAGAGCAAGUCCGGAGUGAAAGCCCGGGGCCCAACCCCGGGACUGCUCUGGAAACUGUUAAGCUGGAGUGCGGGAGGGGCAGGCGGAAUUCCUGGUGUAGCGGUGAAAUGCGUAGAUAUCAGGAGGAACACCGGCGGCGAAGGCGGCCUGCUGGACCGUGACUGACGUUGAGGCUCGAAAGCGUGGGGAGCAAACAGG
RNAcentral lists this ribosomal RNA (253 nucleotides) under uncultured bacterium. Its description in RNAcentral is "partial 16S ribosomal RNA". It matches the Rfam family "Bacterial small subunit ribosomal RNA", at positions 524 to 776 of the family's 1533-position model. The record is from RNAcentral.